Molecule: long non-coding RNA, 460 nt
Organism: Spinacia oleracea (spinach)
Lineage: Eukaryota; Viridiplantae; Streptophyta; Magnoliopsida; Caryophyllales; Amaranthaceae
Exons: 2
Source: RefSeq, a predicted model, not a curated record
UCUAUUACUGUUAAAAGCCUCCUCCGCCACUUCUAUUUCCCCUUUCUUAAACUCCCCUUAUCUUUCAUCUCAUCAUUCUUUACAUGAUUCCUCUUAUUUAUCUAUUAUCCCACUCUCUUAAUUUCAGUUCAAAAGAAAAAAACCAUCUAUAUAUAAACCAUACAAUAAUUUCCAUAAAAAAACAUAUACUCAUUUAUGAGUAAUAGCAUUAUAAGAUAAUUGUUCAUGCUUGGAUCAACGACUACGGCAACGGUUUAGAAUUGGCCGAAAUGCAGCAAGAGACGUAAACUCCAGAAGAUGGAAAUUAUUCCAUUAUCAAGGAUUUCAAGGAUUUUGGAAAAUGUAAUUUUAUAAUUUAGUAAUUUGGAUUUGGACUGCUAUAAAUGUGGUUGUAGUUGAUUGAUUAACCAGUGUAAUAUUGGAUCUUUAUGUCUAAUGGAGUAAAUUUUAUCAUAUUCAA